Molecule: transfer RNA, 78 nt
Filed under: Sulfurihydrogenibium azorense Az-Fu1
Lineage: Bacteria; Pseudomonadati; Aquificota; Aquificia; Aquificales; Hydrogenothermaceae
Description: tRNA-His
Rfam family: tRNA
About the family: Transfer RNA (tRNA) molecules are approximately 80 nucleotides in length. Their secondary structure includes four short double-helical elements and three loops (D, anti-codon, and T loops).
Source: RNAcentral
GGAGGGUGUAGCUCAGUAGGCAGAGCACGAGGUUGUGGCCCUCGGGGUCGCGGGUUCAAGUCCCGUCAUCCUCCCUCU